Small nuclear RNA from Rhinichthys klamathensis goyatoka, 155 nucleotides. RefSeq annotates it as U12 minor spliceosomal RNA. Lineage: Eukaryota; Metazoa; Chordata; Actinopteri; Cypriniformes; Leuciscidae. The transcript has a single exon. The record is from RefSeq and is a predicted model, not a curated record.
AUGCCUUAAACUGAUGAGUAAGGAAAAUAACUACGCGGGGUGACGCCCGUGUCCUCGCUAAUUCUCGCGAGAGAAAUUUUUGAACGGGUACAGGUCCGUCCGCUGAGGUGAUUCGCCUACUUCGCGAGAUGCCUCGCGGGACCAGGAUCUGCCCC